RNAcentral lists this unclassified non-coding RNA (297 nucleotides) under Glomus sp. RNAcentral's name for it is "partial contains 5.8S ribosomal RNA and internal transcribed spacer 2". The stretch from base 1 to 65 matches the Rfam family "5.8S ribosomal RNA", at positions 84 to 154 of the family's 154-position model. The record is from RNAcentral. Lineage: Eukaryota; Fungi; Glomeromycota; Glomeromycetes; Glomerales; Glomeraceae.
GUGAAUCAUCGAAUUUUUGAACGCAAAUUGCACUCUCCUCGGAGAGUAUGCCUGUUUGAGGGUCAGCCUAUAAAAAAUCGACAUCGUUGCUGUUUCGUGGUGGCGUUCGUCGGAAAUUGGGUCAUCUUAAUCCUUUUGAUUUAAGCGACUUAAAAUUUUCUUUUGGUUCCAUGAACGUUUCUAAGAUCUAUUUCUUUUCACGUUUAAGGUAUCGAUUUUUUCUAGACGUUACCCUCAUAUCCGAUCGCGCCCCUAAUCUUUCAUUUACUUAACUCAGACCGGUAAGGGUUCCCGCUG